RNAcentral lists this ribosomal RNA (421 nucleotides) under uncultured bacterium. RNAcentral describes it as "bacterial SSU rRNA". It matches the Rfam family "Bacterial small subunit ribosomal RNA", at positions 355 to 774 of the family's 1533-position model. The record is from RNAcentral.
UAAGGAAUAUUGGUCAAUGGACGCAAGUCUGAACCAGCCAUGCCGCGUGAAGGAUGAAGGUCCUCUGGAUUGUAAACUUCUUUUAUCUGGGACGAAAACGGGAUUUUUAUCUCAAUUAACGGUACCAGCGGAAUAAGCACCGGCUAACUCCGUGCCAGCAGCCGCGGUAAUACGAAGGGUGCGAGCGUUAUCCGGAUUUACUGGGUUUAAAGGGUGCGUAGGUGGGCUUAUAAGUCAGUGGUGAAAUCUCCGAGCUUAACUUGGAAACUGCCGUUGAUACUAUAGGUCUUGAAUUAUCUGGAGGUAAGCGGAAUAUGUCAUGUAGCGGUGAAAUGCUUAGAUAUGACAUAGAACACCAAUUGCGAAGGCAGCUUACUACAUAUAAAUUGACGCUGAGGCACGAAAGCGUGGGGAUCAAACA